This is a long non-coding RNA of Mauremys reevesii (Reeves's turtle), 404 nucleotides long. RefSeq lists it as uncharacterized. Lineage: Eukaryota; Metazoa; Chordata; Testudines; Geoemydidae. The record is from RefSeq and is a predicted model, not a curated record. The transcript has 4 exons.
UAAGAAGGAGUCUAGUCUGUGAAAGAAGCUCAUUGGAACAUCUGAGGUAACACAGGAUAGACUCGUGCUCAGCCUCUUCAUCUGAACUACAUUAUGCUUGCAAAGUAAAGCACUCAAAAGAAAUGGCUAACCAGUUUUGGUUGAAACUUGAAGACCGAGGUAGACCUUAGCAUGGAACAUCCUGGCCACUGAGCUUAUCAAAGCCAUAAGCAGCUGAGAAUAGGGUCUUCUGAUGAAAGACUAUUGGCUGAAAUCCUGACACCACUGAAGUUAGUGGGGAAAACUAUUAUGUCAGUUAUAUCAUACAACGAUAUAGCAAGAGAGUCACCUGUGACCUGGCGAUGUGCAUUGUGAUAUGAAAUGACAAAACAACAUUGUGCCAGUCAGUCAAUAAGCCAAGUGAC